CGCGGCCUAUCAGCUUGUUGGCGGUGUAACGGACCACCAAGGCUUCGACGGGUAGCUGGUCUGAGAGGAUGGCCAGCCACAUUGGGACUGAGAGACGGCCCAGACUCCUACGGGAGGCAGCAGUGGGGAAUCUUGCGCAAUGGCCGAAAGGCUGACGCAGCGACGCCGCGUGUGGGAUGAAGCAUUUCGGAGUGUAAACCACUGUUGCCCGGGACGAAUAGCUCGAUUAAUCGAGCCUGACAGUACCGGGUGAGGAAGCACCGGCUAACUCCGUGCCAGCAGCCGCGGUAAUACGGGGGGUGCGAGCGUUGUCCGGAAUCACUGGGCGUAAAGGGCGCGUAGGUGGUUUGAUAAGGGUGUGGUGAAAGUCCGGGGCUCAACCCCGGAUCUGCCGUGCCGACUGUCAAACUCGAGGACUGUAGAGGCAGACGGAAUUCCGGGUGUAGCGGUGGAAUGCGUAGAGAUCCGGAGGAAGACCGGUGGCGAAGGCGGUCUGCUGGGCAGUUUCUGACACUGAGGCGCGACAGCGUGGGGAGCAAACAGGAUUAGAUACCCUGGUAGUCCACGCCGUAAACGAUGGGUACUAGGUGCCUGGGGGAGUGACCCUCUGGGUGCCGGCGCUAACGCAGGAAGUACCCCGCCUGGGGAGUACGG
This 654-nucleotide ribosomal RNA is filed under the name uncultured bacterium. RNAcentral describes it as "bacterial SSU rRNA". It matches the Rfam family "Bacterial small subunit ribosomal RNA", at positions 232 to 885 of the family's 1533-position model. The record is from RNAcentral.